CACAGACUGCACUUUGUCGGUGAAGACCGAGCUGAGCCCUCUGUGCCUACUCGCAGUGGACUGGUCACUUCGGGGACGCCCAGGUGCUGGUGACGCCAUGUCAAGGCAACGCUUCCAAUACUUCCUAGAGUCUCUGUUACAGGACCAGUGGCUGAUACCAACUAUUUCCUCCAUCCAGGACUGGUUCGACGCCAUCGACGACUUGUGGUUUCAGGGAACUUUCAUAGACUUCACCCCUACGAAAGUAGCUGUCUAUAGCCACUGGGUUUUAUUUCUGGUUGCCAUGAUAUCCCCAGACCUGGCCCCCCGAACAUUCCUCCACUUCCCCUUCUAGGCCCUAUGCCGCCCCUGCACAGCUGGAAGCAGCCAGAUCUGACCAAUAAUGCCCCAAUUCCUAAGAAAACAAAAAGGGAGGAAUGUUGGGAAAACAUAUAACGGCAGCAGCACCCCAGAGAAAAACCCCAGCAUGGCGUCUAACGACCCUCUUUCUCCUCUUUGUUUCUUUCACUGGCGCAAAACGUUCCCGCCAGCGCCAAUGUUCAAACCCUGCUGGUGGGAAGCCUUAGCCCCAAUUAGAAUUAACUUCUUGGGCUCCGGAACUGACAUAUGGAAGAGCUUGCCAAUAAACGGGUGACCUGUUAUCUACCUCAGCCCUGUGACCUCUCCUUAGACCUAUAUAAACACACAGCCUUUUGUAAUAAAGCGGAAACCUCUUUGGUGA
This is a long non-coding RNA of Marmota monax (woodchuck), 721 nucleotides long. RefSeq lists it as uncharacterized. Lineage: Eukaryota; Metazoa; Chordata; Mammalia; Rodentia; Sciuridae. The transcript has 2 exons. The record is from RefSeq and is a predicted model, not a curated record.